Archocentrus centrarchus (flier cichlid) is the source of this 3848-nucleotide long non-coding RNA. RefSeq lists it as uncharacterized. NCBI's taxonomy places the organism in Eukaryota, Metazoa, Chordata, Actinopteri, Cichliformes, Cichlidae. The transcript has 3 exons. The record is from RefSeq and is a predicted model, not a curated record.
CUAAAUUUACUCUUAAUAAGGUGUUACUGGUGUUAUUUUUCCUAAAUGCAUUACAAAAUAAAAAUUGACUUUGUUUUUGUUUUUGAAUCCCAGAUCCAUGUUGAGGAAGUCACCAAGCAGUCAAUGAAACGCACCCUAACCUCCAAACACACAAGCACUCUUGCAAAAACAGCUUAAGUAAAAUCACUUUGUUUAUCUUUUGAGAUGAUAAUUAAUGAACACAGGUGCAUAUAUAGUCAAAUAGAACGUUUAUCUCUGUAUUUAUAGCUGUAAUAAUUUGUCAGUUUUAGAUCAUUUAGUUUGCUCUUUUCCAGUUUUCAUAAAUGAUACAUUAUUGCUAUUCCUGUGACUGUCUAGAUAGAAUGCCUUAAUGUUUUACUCAAUAAGUAUCACCAGUUUUACUCACACAAACUGAUACCCAAGAUUUGAUGGCUUGAUUUGACUUUAAUAAUCAUACAAUUUACAUGAAGCACAAUAAUUCAAUAUGGCUUUCAGGGGAGAGAAUCUAUUUUCUGAUCUUCUUUCUGUUCUUGUGAUCUCUUUUUCUUUUAUUGACCUGAAUGAAGAUGUAUGGAGUGAGUGUGUGUGUGUCUUCGGUUUCCUCCUGAUGGGGUAUGUCAGCCCCCCCUCUUCUCCCUACUCCCCAUGAUCCCCGCAAGGCUGAAUGGCAGGCCUCUGGAUUGGCUAAGUGAUGAAAUGAUGACCCUAUUAUGGGAAGCGAUUCCAAAAUGAGAGAUAUCAGACGAAGAUUACACCCCUCUCUCACUGCCACGCCAUCCUCCUGCAAUACACUGCCAGCUGCACAGAUGAUGAUUGAUUUGCUUGAGAUGGAUCACAGGAAGCACCCAUUGAUUUUUCUGUGUUUUAUCAAAAAUAUUUAUUUACAGUUGUAUCCAUAGGGUGUAUCCAGGCUCACCCCAUGCCUCCUUUUUCCAAAUGGGGGUUGGUAUAAAAGGGAUAAUUCUCCCUGUUCCAUGACAAGACGAAUGACCUGAAGUAUUAUUUCAGAAAUGAGUCAAUAGGCUCAGUGAGUAAAUGAAUAUUGAUUGGAUCUAAUGAAGCCAGAGUGUGAAUAUGAGCCCUGUUGCAGGCUCCACUGCAGUGAUGGUAAACCUCUCCAACUGAGUAUUUUGCAGACCUGCAAGUGCAGCUGGGACAAAAUACACCUCAUGUUAGUUAGUAGCACAGAUGGUGAAUCAGCACACUCAACAUUUCCCUUUUCCUCUCACUGGUGUUUACCUGUGUAUUUUGAUUAUGAUCUGAGAGUUUCCAUACUUGACUCUUGUCUUGCCUGACUCUUGGCUAAAUAUGGUGAGGGUGCUAUAGGCGCCAUAUGGCAAUAUCUAAGACUCUUGCUACUUAAAAGCUCUUGAGACAUGUAGGAGGCAUUUCUGUAUCACCUGUACAAAGGUAAACUGAUACAACAUACAAAUCAAAUGACAACUAGAAUGCUAAAACCACAGUGUGGGAGCUGUGCCCUAGAUAUUUGCACUGACUUAAUCCAAUUGAAAUAGUAUGAGUGAGUUGCAGGGGCUCCCAGGUCUGUUGCUUGCUUAUGUAUGUGAUGCAUAAUAGAAGUUGACGAGGUUGGUGAUAGAUCACAGCCCAGGUAAUGUAAACACAUUAAUCCCUCAGGGUUCAUGUGCAUGUUCUUUCUCUCCUUUUCUCUUAUAUCAGUCCCUCUCUCUAUCUGUCUCUCUCUUUCUCUCUCUUCAAGCCCCCAUCCUUCCCCCUCCACGUUCAUCAUCUUCCCUAAACGCGUUAGUGGAGCACAAACCAGAAGCAGCCUUAAUCUGUCAACAUGCCCUUUAAUUGGAGGGAAAAAAAAACAACACGUGCUUCUGGUUAUGCCAUUCCUAAGUGCACAUGCCAAAGAAACACAGAGUUCAUGGAAGAAGUGAUCCCAGGAGAGCAGGGCAUAAUUAAAAGUAUCUUUUAAUAGGCUUGUAAUGCUGAGCCUGACUCUUGUUGCCUUAAGUAGAGGGCGAACUCUGUGGCUGGAGACGGACAUGCAAGGGGCUUCUGCUGAGGGAGCCUGUAAACGAUACAUUGCCUCGUCAUCAUCAGACAUGCAGUGUCCGCCUCAGUCACCAAACCCAAGACGACAGCCACUUUCCACCCCUGCCGCGGACACCUUCGCUUACCCGUUCCUGUGUUCUUUUGUUCUCAGAAUGAGAGAUUCUCCUCCGCAACAUCACCUCUCCUCAUCUGCUUCCCAGCCACUUUGGCAAGUUGUGUUCUACCUCCUACUCACAGCACCAGCGGGGAGUGAGAACUGGGACUUAGGGGUUGAUUUGGGGCCUGCUGCACUGUAAUCAAAUGAGACUGCUUAGGGGAGAGGAGAAGGAGGAGGUGGAGUAUUAUGUUCUGUCGUGCAUUCCACUGCAGCAUUGUUGCUUUUUUGUUUUUGUCAGGGCAGGCUUUGAUGCUGUAUCCUCUUACCUUUGUAGUCCCGGUAGCCAUGUUUCAUAAACACGGAAUGGGAAGCAUCCUCAGCAUUAGAAAUUUAGAUUGCUGCUUUCCUCCUGCCACUCUGCAUUCCGCACGUGCCCGGUCGCAUUCUCCAUCUCCCAUUGCUGAGUAACCAUUUUGUCCAACAUCUGACACACUGCCCUGGGUUAUUGAGCCAGACGUGGAAAUCCAAAGCGGAGAUGCUCUCCUUAAUGCCUGACACCUGGUGCAGAUUUGGAAGGGAUUGCACUACAGGCUGUGUCCAGCUCUGUCACUGGUCCUUAGUGCUCCAGCAGCCUGGUCAAAAAGACAUCCUGGCAGGGUCCCAGGGUGGAUGCAUCGCCCACGCACACUGCUCUCGCCAGCUCCCAGAAGUCUUUGUGGUGAACCACUGACCAUGCUGCUCCCUAUUUUCUUCCAGCCCAGCAAAUAAUGUGUCAGAAAAAGAUUAUUGAUAGCCCAUAAAAGAAGAGCCAGAAUGUUGUUGCUGCUCUGCUCCAACUUUAAAGAACAAUGCAAGUGCUAAACCAUCAGUUUCAAUGGUGCACUGCUCCUGAAAGAGCACAGCAUUUAUUUUUCACAUUGUUGUUCAGUUUGGAUAAAAGGUGCUACAACUGGAACAUGAACAGACAACAAUAACUUCUAUUUUUUAAAAUGCUGCUUCAUUUUCCCUUACAUGCAAACCUUGUAGUGAGGUUGGCAACUUUGUACUGUGUCUAUUCAAAAGAAAAAUUAGAUCCCUCAAAAGGAACAUUUACAUUUUCUCCCCGCUCUGUUGAGUCAUUCACUUUUUUUUUUUUGCCAAGUUUACCAGACAUUGGCGAAGCUGUUGCUCAUCUGGCCUAAAUGUGGCCUGAGUGGGUGAUUCUCAGACAGAUGAGGGAAGCUAUAUUUACAGAAUUAACGAUGCACUCCAUCGGCCACACAACAGCUGCCUGCUACACUUAGCUAAUUGAGACUGCAGGCCCAUUCCCAUUUGCAGAGCACUGUGAUUGAACAGUUGGGCAGCUUUAUGUGUGUUUUUGCUCUCCUCGUUCUAGAAAUCAACACCGACGCUCCCAUGCAAAAACAAACACUCGUUCAAGCUGACUGUGUGUUGUGGCACCGCUUGUGAAAAGUCUGCCCUUUUUCGUUGUUCUGUGUUUCACUUUUAAUGUUGUUCAUCUAUCUUAUCAACAUGUUUGUUUUCGCCGAGGCAGUGCAUGAUGUGUCGGAGAGAUGCAGCAAGGUUCAUCUCAGCAGUAAUGUUGUUAAAUGAGAGAAGGAGCGGGUGUUUCAAGCCUGUGUGUGUAUAUACAACACUGUUUUGCUGUAAAAUCUGUGUUUAUGUUCACUGCAGGCAUAAUUCACAGUGUGUGUUAAAGGGCUCCAGGCCAUGCAGGCACACAACUGGCAGC